RNAcentral lists this ribosomal RNA (253 nucleotides) under uncultured bacterium. Its description in RNAcentral is "partial 16S ribosomal RNA". It matches the Rfam family "Bacterial small subunit ribosomal RNA", at positions 524 to 776 of the family's 1533-position model. The record is from RNAcentral.
UACAGAGGGUGCAAGCGUUAAUCGGAAUUACUGGGCGUAAAGCGUGCGUAGUCGGUUAUUUAAGUCGGGUGUGAAAUCCCCGGGCUCAACCUGGGAAUUGCAUUCGAUACUGGAUAGCUAGAGUUCGGCAGAGGGAAGCGGAAUUUCGGGUGUAGCGGUGAAAUGCGUAGAUAUCAGGAGGAACACCGGUGGCGAAGGCGGCUUCCUGGACAAUAACUGACGCUGAGGCGCGAAAGCUAGGGGAGCAAACAGG